This 331-nucleotide ribosomal RNA is filed under the name uncultured eukaryote. RNAcentral describes it as "partial 18S ribosomal RNA". It matches the Rfam family "Eukaryotic small subunit ribosomal RNA", at positions 1470 to 1796 of the family's 1831-position model. The record is from RNAcentral.
CCCUUAGAUGUUCUGGGCCGCACGCGCGCUACACUGACGAAGUCAGCGAGCAUGUCCUACGCCGACAGGUGCGGGGAAUCUUGUCAAACUUCGUCGUGAUGGGGAUUGAUUAUUGAAAUUCUUGAUCAUCAACGAGGAAUUCCUAGUAAGCGCAAGUCGGCAGCUUGCGUUGAUUACGUCCCUGCCCUUUGUACACACCGCCCGUCGCUACUACCGAUUGAAUGGUUUAGUGAGAUCUUCGGAUUGGCGCCACUGCGGCUCAGCAAUGGGCUCGGUGGAUGCCGAAAAGUUGAUCAAACUUGAUCAUUUAGAGGAAGUAAAAGUCGUAACA